AGUACCGUGAAAAACUUGAAAUUAUAAUUUGAUGUUCAUAUGUAAAUGACCUAUGUGAACAAAUCCAUGAAUAUAUGAACAGAUCAAGUUAUACAUAAUAUUACCUGUAUUUAUAUGUGAAUGGUCUUUAUAUGAACCUUAUCAUAUAUAUAUAUAUAUAUUCAGUGAACUGAAGUGAGAAGUGAAGGGAGCUCCCUUCAGCCCACUCAUGGAUGCGAUGAAGGAAUAGAAUUAGCUGCCGACUCAUUCAUUUAACCGGUCAGUAGUAGCUAGAUCGGAAGGAAUCCUACUCAACAGUUUAUUAUGCGCUACUUUUUGAUUAAUUGAAUGAUGCGGGAGAUAGUUUCUUCCUUUGCUAAUCUAUGCUUGGACUGAAGGGAGCUCCCUCUCCCGCGGCCUCCCUCAAUAUAAAUAUAUAUCAUCCAUUUUUCCUUUUUACGAGCUAACUGGUAGCUGUCAUAUAUUAAUAACUACUAACUACUUGCUAUCGGGCUAGCUAGACUGCGAUAGUUUCUUAAUUAAGUAAUGCUUAUACAAUUUAAUUAUAAUAGAUAUAUACAAAAAUAUGUGUGUGAAGAAGUUGUGUGUUAUAUAUAUGCGUGUUUAAUAAUCUUUUAUUGAUAAUGUGAUUUAUCUUCAUGCAAGAUAUAUAUCUUUAUCUUUUACCGUAUAUUACUAUAAAUAAAUUAAUCAAAUGAAAAUAUUUAAAAUUUUAAUUAGAACUUGCCUAAAUCAAACUUAGAAAUUUUAUCGUUUUUGAGCGUUCGUUUCACAGGACUGCUAGCCAUUACAUCCAUACGGUUAGGCAGUCAUUAGCGAUCGAUCCACGGAGUCAGGGACCACAGGGGAGGGAAACUUACCAAUUUAACCGCUAUAGAAGGCACGACGUUAAUUUGGAGGUAAAACCUCGUCUGCUCAGACUCGAUCCCUGGUCUCCCAGGAUCUAAGUAUCAUUGUAGGAUUUCGGAAUGCUGCUGGGGUUUGGAAAGGAACUUAGAAAUAUUAUCUAGCUAGCUAGCCAAUUAAUAAAUUACUAUUCAUUAUCAGUAAAUCUUAAACAUUCGAUUUCGAAUAACUUUUUUAAGAAAGAUACGUUACAAUAUAGUUACAAAAUAAUUAACAACUUUUUGGGUUACGUAAUUUUAUAUUUUAAUUUAAUUAUUGUAAAUUUUAUAACAAUAAUCAUUAAUUUCAACCGUCAAAGCUAUCACUUUGGUGGUCAUGUCGCGCACUUGCCUCUGUCGCAUCGCAUCUUACAGUUCACAAGUUCGCUGGUUCUUACUACCUAAACAGGGAAGCAAUACUGUCUCAAAAUUCAUUUCACUGGCCAGCAUGUCAUGUGGAUCGAUAUGAUAAUACGGAGUAAUAUUAAUAUAUCCCUAGAUAUAUAUGUUUUUGGAAGUCUAGCUUGUAUAUAUAUAUGUUUUUGGAAGUCUAGCUUGUAUAUAUAUAUGUUGCCUUCUGGCUUCAUUAUUGUCGAGGAUAACAUAUAAUUAAAUUAACAAUAUAAAAUAAGGCUUGUUGGUGGACUGUCGAACGA
Molecule: long non-coding RNA, 1540 nt
Organism: Erigeron canadensis
Lineage: Eukaryota; Viridiplantae; Streptophyta; Magnoliopsida; Asterales; Asteraceae
Exons: 2
Source: RefSeq, a predicted model, not a curated record